Molecule: non-coding RNA, 46 nt
Organism: Erinaceus europaeus (western European hedgehog)
Lineage: Eukaryota; Metazoa; Chordata; Mammalia; Eulipotyphla; Erinaceidae
Source: Rfam
CCAAAGGCUCUUUUAAGAGCCACACAGUUUUUCACUUAAGAGUUGU